This 304-nucleotide ribosomal RNA is filed under the name uncultured bacterium. RNAcentral describes it as "partial 16S ribosomal RNA". It matches the Rfam family "Bacterial small subunit ribosomal RNA", at positions 506 to 807 of the family's 1533-position model. The record is from RNAcentral.
CAGCAGCAGCCGCGGGAAUACGAAGGGGGCUAGCGUUGCUCGGAAUGACUGGGCGUAAAGGGCGCGUAGGCGGUUUGCACAGUCGGGUGUGAAAUUCCUGGGCUUAACCUGGGGGCUGCAUUCGAGACGUGUAGGCUUGAGUGGGGAAGAGGGUCGUGGAAUUCCCAGUGUAGAGGUGAAAUUCGUAGAUAUUGGGAAGAACACCGGUGGCGAAGGCGGCGACCUGGUCCUUUACUGACGCUGAGGAGCGAAAGCGUGGGGAGCGAACAGGAUUAGAUACCCCUGUAGUCCCUGUCUCUUAUAC